GGUGGAGAGCAGAGAAGGAGGGCUUUGAGAACAGCAGUGUGGGAGGAGGAUGUGUCCAGUGUAUGAGGCUGAGAAAGAGCUUGAGAGUGAGGAAGGAAGAGAGGGAAGAAGACAGAGUGGAGGAAGUUGGUUACCAUGGAAUCCUCCAGCCUGAGUCGCUAGCAUGUUCGCUGCCGGGGACCUAGCAUUGCACAAAUUCGCCAUCUGUGUCUCAUCAGUUCAUAGGAAAGCCAAGAGGAGUCCUCCCGGAACACCUCACAAAUAUCAGCCGCAGGAGGGCCACAGAAGCAAGACCCUCAGUGGAAUUUUCACAACUUGAGAAGGUCGCAGCGGGCACCACAGCCUUCCUUUUCGUUUAUGCCUUCUCCCUCAGGAGAGACUUCUCAGGACAGUCUCCAUGAUUACACCAUGCUUUCAAAUUGUUUCGAGUCACUGAAGAGAAUGCACAUGCCUAGAGACGGCACAAUCAAGUAUGUGAUGCAUGUGUGUGCAAGCAAGGGUAUCAAUACCUGCCUUUUCUCCAAACGUCCAACAACAUCCUGUCCUCUGCCCUAAUCUCAGAGGUGUAAGAGAAAGUGGGUUUUGUUGUUGUUGCUGUUGUGUUUUAAUAGAAAGAUUUUUUUCAGAAAGCUUUAUUUAACACAGCUGGGUAGACAUGUUUGGUUUCUAGUGCUGAGCCCAGAAUCUCUCCCUCAGAGGAGCACUUGGCUAGCUCCUUCCACACCCACCUCAACCCUCUGCCUUUCCAGAACCUACAGGGCCACUCAAAUAGACGUUUCUUCCCCUGCUUGCUCCUUUAUGUCUCCCAGAGCUUCAUGCCCAAAGCUGUAUUUCCUCCAUGCCAUCUGUUUCACCCCCUCCCUUUUUACCCAAUCCCCAGCUUCCUUCUCUCUAAUUAUCCCCAACAGUCUGUAGGUAGAAGGAUGUAAAGAUAUAAGCAAGUGAAUCGCAUACCAUGUAAUUCAACAAUGGGAUGAGCUCUGUAUUGCACUCUUCCUCCAAGUGAGUUUUCAAUGGUAGGAUCUUCAAGCACUAUACUUGACAAAAAGCUUUUGUGGGAGUUUGUACAUGCACUUUAGCAAUAAUACUAUGGUGGUUUUGGUGUUGGUGUUGGUGUUGGUGUUGGUGUUGGUGGUGUUGGUAUUGGUGGUGGUGUUUGUUUGUUUGUUCUGUUUUUUGUUUUUUUUUACUAUUUGUGGGAAAGUAUGGUUGUGUCCGAUUGAAGCAAAGUCUCUUUAAAGACUCAUUUUAGGCUAGAGUGAUUGUUUUUUCUCUGGAAAAACCUGUGAAUUAGUGGUGUUUGAGAACUACCGGGUGGUUCCUGCUCAUUACUUCAGAACAUUUUAUUAGAAGUCUCUUUUCCCAGCAGACCUUGAGAAGCAGAAGGAAGCAGACAAUCUAUCAAACCACCAUGUAUAUAUGUGGCUCAGUGUAUAAUGCGUGUAUGUACAGCAGCCUGUAAUAGUGGCUGCCAAGGUAUGCCCUAAAUUUCCGGGGGUUCCUAAGCCAUUUUCCAUGUGUUUCUGAAGUAAAAACCAUGUUUAUAUGAAUGCUAAGGUGUUGGUUGCCUUUCCUCGCAGUGGCACCUAGCUGCAAGGGUGACCCUGAGUUCUCAAUAGAAAAAAAAGCCAGUGUCACCUACAAACAAAAUAGAAUACACAUAAAUUAUCGUAAAGUUCACUAUUUUAUAUCUUUGGGAUAUUCUGCAUGAUUAAGUGGUAAUUAUGGGUUAAUAUUUCUUCAGUAUAGCAGGCAGUGUGGCUGGUUGAUUUAUGGAAAAAUGCUAGUGAAGUUUUCUACCCAAUGGGACAGCUUAGCUUUGUUUUUUGAGACCAGCCUUGGCUAGAUAACAAAUUCAAGGCUAGCCUGGGCUAUAUGAGAAUCUGUCUCCAAAAAUAAGACAUAAUGCUUAUAUGCUAAUUAAAAAUGUAUUUACU
RNAcentral lists this long non-coding RNA (1937 nucleotides) under Mus musculus (house mouse). Its description in RNAcentral is "predicted gene, 29676". The record is from RNAcentral. Lineage: Eukaryota; Metazoa; Chordata; Mammalia; Rodentia; Muridae.